This 319-nucleotide ribosomal RNA is filed under the name uncultured bacterium. RNAcentral's name for it is "bacterial SSU rRNA". It matches the Rfam family "Bacterial small subunit ribosomal RNA", at positions 470 to 789 of the family's 1533-position model. The record is from RNAcentral.
UGCUAGUAUACGUAGAAUAAGGAUCGGCUAACUCCGUGCCAGCAGCCGCGGUAAUACGGAGGAUCCGAGCGUUAUCCGGAUUUAUUGGGUUUAAAGGGUGCGCAGGCGGCGUAUUAAGUCAGCGGUUAAAUAGUGAGGCUCAACCUCAUCCCGCCGUUGAUACUGGUAUGCUUGAUUUCGGUUGAGGUUGGCGGAAUUCGCCGUGUAGCGGUGAAAUGCAUAGAUAUGGCGAAGAACUCCGAUUGCGUAGGCAGCUGACCAAGCCGAUAAUGACGCUCAUGCACGAAAGUGCGGGGAUCGAACAGGAUUAGAUACCCUG